This 209-nucleotide long non-coding RNA is filed under the name Lathyrus oleraceus (garden pea). RNAcentral describes it as "Pisum sativum (pea) long non-coding RNA (PSAT_LNC039007)". The record is from RNAcentral. Lineage: Eukaryota; Viridiplantae; Streptophyta; Magnoliopsida; Fabales; Fabaceae.
UGAGGUUUGGCUAUGUUGUUGGAUGUUGCUGCUGCUGCAAUUUGUGCAAAAACUGUAGCUGCAAUUGUUGCUCCGAGGUGUUUUGUUGAGACAUUUGAGCCACUGGAUGAUUUGGUGUCACCCUCUGUUGCUGGCUUUGUUGCAACACCUGCAGUGGGGAUUGUUGUAACUGUGUCUGUUGUAACUUUGAUGCUUUUUGACAGAAAACC